AGUGAACGCUGGCGGUAGGCCUAACACAUGCAAGUCGAACGGCAGCACAGUAAGAGCUUGCUCUUACGGGUGGCGAGUGGCGGACGGGUGAGGAAUACAUCGGAAUCUACUUUUUCGUGGGGGAUAACGUAGGGAAACUUACGCUAAUACCGCAUACGACCUACGGGUGAAAGCAGGGGAACUUCGGACCUUGCGCGAUUGAAUGAGCCGAUGUCGGAUUAGCUAGUUGGCGGGGUAACGGCCUACCAAGGCAACGAUCCGUAGCUGGUCUGAGAGGAUGAUCAGCCACACUGGAACUGAGACACGGUCCAGACUCCUACGGGAGGCAGCAGUAGGGAAUAUUGGACAAUGGGCGCAAGCCUGAUCCAGCCAUACCGCGUGGGUGAAGAAGGCCUUCGGGUUGUAAAGCCCUUUUGUUGGGAAAGAAAAGCAGCAGGUUAAUACCCCGCUGUUCUGACGGUACCCAAAGAAUAAGCACCGGCUAACUUCGUG
This 492-nucleotide ribosomal RNA is filed under the name uncultured bacterium. Its description in RNAcentral is "partial 16S ribosomal RNA". It matches the Rfam family "Bacterial small subunit ribosomal RNA", at positions 29 to 507 of the family's 1533-position model. The record is from RNAcentral.